RNAcentral lists this ribosomal RNA (826 nucleotides) under Salmonella enterica subsp. enterica. RNAcentral describes it as "partial 23S ribosomal RNA". It matches the Rfam family "Bacterial large subunit ribosomal RNA", at positions 930 to 1654 of the family's 2925-position model. Lineage: Bacteria; Pseudomonadati; Pseudomonadota; Gammaproteobacteria; Enterobacterales; Enterobacteriaceae. The record is from RNAcentral.
ACAAGGUUACUGACUUCAGCCAAACUCCGAAUGCCGGGAAGUGAGAGCGUGGCAGUGAGACUGUGGGGGAUAAGCUUCAUAGUCGAGAGGGAAACAGCCCAGACCACCGGUUAAGGCCCCUAAGCGUGUGCUAAGUGGGAAAGGAUGUGGAGUUGCUGAGACAACCAGGAGGUUGGCUUAGAAGCAGCCACCCUUGAAAGAGUGCGUAAUAGCUCACUGGUCAAGUGGUCCUGCGCCGACAAUGUAGCGGGGCUCAAGUACACCGCCGAAACCGUGGCAUUCAGUUUUGCUGGAUGGGUAGGGGAGCGUCGUUCACGAGGUGAAGCCAGCGGGUAACUUCUGGUGGAUUGUGGACGAGUGAGAAUGCAGGCAUGAGUAGCGAAAGACGGGUGAGAAACCCGUCCGCCGGAUGACUAAGGGUUCCAGGGUCAAGCUAAUCUGCCCUGGGUAAGUCGGGACCUAAGGCGAGGCCGACAGGCGUAGUCGAUGGACAACGGGUUGAUAUUCCCGUACCAGUGAAGAACCGCCCAUGCUGAGCCGGUGAUACUAACCGCCCGAACCAUCCCGAACCUCGUCUUUGACGGGGACGGUGAUGGGGAGCGCGGGACCUGAACCGGGGAGGCAAGCGCAUUAACAGGUGUGACGCAGGAAGGUAGCCGGGCCGGGCAAUGGAAAUGACCUGGUCUAAGGGUGUAGGGCUGCCGGUAGGUAAAUCCGCCGGCUGUAUGCCUGAGACCUGAUGGGCGCCCACGUGGUGGGUGAUCCGGUGAUCCUAUGCUGCCUAGAAAAGCAUCGGCGUGAGGUUCAAACUGCCCGUACCCUAAAC